ACCAGAUAUAGCUCAAUAUUUUAAUUCCAUAAAACUAUUAUUAAAUUUAAAAUAAAUCAUUUAUUACAUAUUAAAGUAUAGGCGAUAGAAAUUCUACUUGACGCUAUAGAGAAAGUACCGCAAGGGAACACUGAAAGAAAACCUUAAGUAAUAAACAGCAAAGCUUAAUACUUAUACCUUUUGCAUAAUGACUCAGCUAGAAAACAUUAGCGAAAAGAAUUAAAGUUAAGUCACCCGAAACCAGACGAGCUACCUGACAGCAGCUAACAGAGCAAACUCAUCUAUGUGACAAAAUAGUGAAACGACUGUCCGGUAGUGGCGACAAACCUAUCGAGCUUGGUGAUAGCUGGUUAUCCAGAGUAGAAUUUUAGUUCUAACUUUAAUCUACCAAACAGAUAAGCAAGCUAAAAAUGUAGAUUUAAGUGAUAAUCUAAAAAGGUACAGCUUUUUAGACAAGGGAUACAACCCCUAUUAGAGAAUAAAUUAUGACUAACCACAGUAGUUGGCCUAAAAGCAGUCAUCAACUAAGAAAGCGUUAAAGCUCAACAGUACAAAAAUUUAAUUUCAUAAUAAAAAUAUAAAUCCUAAUACAAAACUGGAUCACUCUAUUUAUAAAUAGAAGUGACACUGCUGAUAUGAGUAACAAGAAACAUUUCUCCCCGCACACGUGUAUAUCAGAACGGAUAAGCCACUGAUAAUUACCAAAGCAAACGUUCAUAAUUACUAAACUUUUAAUAUUAAUUGUUAGCCCAACACAGGAGUGCAACUAAGGAAAGAUUCAAAGAAGUAAUAGGAACUCGGCAAACAUAAACCCCGCCUGUUUACCAAAAACAUCACCUCUAGCAUAAAAAGUAUUAGAGGCACUGCCUGCCCGGUGACUUCAGUUUAACGGCCGCGGUAUCCUGACCGUGCAAAGGUAGCAUAAUCACUUGUUCCCUAAAUAGGGACUUGUAUGAAUGGCCCCAUGAAGGUUUUGCUGUCUCUUAUUUCAAUCAGUGAAAUUGACAUUCCCGUGAAGAGGCGGGAAUAAAAAAAUAAGACGAGAAGACCCUAUGGAGCUUUAAUUCACUAACUCAUAUAAUUCCCUUAACUCCUCACGAGGGAACAAGUCCACUAUAAGUGAGUUAGCAAUUUGGAUUGGGGUGACCUCGGAAUAAAACCUAACCUCCGAGAAACAUUUUUUAAGACUCACAAGUCAAAAUCAUAUUAACAUACAAUGAUCCGCCAAUGACGAUCAACGAAACAAGUUACCCUAGGGAUAACAGCGCAAUCCUAUUCAAGAGUCUAUAUCGACUAUUAGGGUUUACGACCUUGAUCUGAGUUCAGACCGGAGUAAUGGUGCAGCAGCUAUUAAAGGUUCGUUUGUUCAACGAUUAAAGUCCUACGUGAUCUGAGUUCAGACCGGAGAAAUCCAGGUCGGUUUCUAUCUAUUCAUAAGUCCCUCCCAGUACGAAAGAAUAAGAGAGACAGGGCCCACUUUAAAUAAGCGCCCUAACAAAAUAGAUGAACUAAUCUUAAUCCUAUUAUUGCCCACCAGCUAUUCUAGAAUAAGAAAAAUUAAAC
RNAcentral lists this ribosomal RNA (1563 nucleotides) under Pipistrellus abramus. Its description in RNAcentral is "16S ribosomal RNA". It matches the Rfam family "Bacterial large subunit ribosomal RNA". Lineage: Eukaryota; Metazoa; Chordata; Mammalia; Chiroptera; Vespertilionidae. The record is from RNAcentral.